Molecule: ribosomal RNA, 289 nt
Filed under: uncultured bacterium
Lineage: Bacteria
Description: partial 16S ribosomal RNA
Rfam family: Bacterial small subunit ribosomal RNA
Source: RNAcentral
GGGCCUGCGGGCCAUUAGCUUGUUGGUGAGGUAACGGCUCACCAAGGCUGUGAUGGCUAGCUGGUCUGAGAGGAUGACCAGCCACACUGGGACUGAGACACGGCCCAGACUCCUACGGGAGGCAGCAGUGGGAAUAUUGCGCAAUGGGCGAAAGCCUGACGCAGCGACGCCGCGUGGGUGAUGAAGGGCCUUCGGGUCGUAAAGCCCUGUCGCAGGGGAAGAAUAAGCAUCGGUAUAAUACGCCGGUGCCCUGACGGUACCCUGCAAGAAAGCACCGGCUAACUCCGUG